RNAcentral lists this ribosomal RNA (444 nucleotides) under uncultured bacterium. Its description in RNAcentral is "partial 16S ribosomal RNA". It matches the Rfam family "Bacterial small subunit ribosomal RNA", at positions 354 to 796 of the family's 1533-position model. The record is from RNAcentral.
GUAGGGAAUAUUGGGCAAUGGUCGCAAGACUGACCCAGCCAUGCCGCGUGCAGGAAGACGGCCCUCUGGGUUGUAAACUGCUUUUAUCUGGGAAGAAAAAGGCCAUGCGUGGCAAAUUGCCGGUACCAGAUGAAUAAGCACCGGCUAACUCCGUGCCAGCAGCCGCGGUAAUACGGAGGGUGCGAGCGUUGUCCGGAUUUAUUGGGUUUAAAGGGUGCGUAGGCGGCUGAUUAAGUCAGCGGUGAAAGACUUCGGCUUAACCGGAGCAGUGCCGUUGAUACUGGUUGGCUUGAGUGUCGGAGGGGUACAUGGAAUUGAUGGUGUAGCGGUGAAAUGCAUAGAUACCAUCAGGAACACCGAUAGCGAAGGCAUUGUACUGGCCGACAACUGACGCUGAUGCACGAAAGUGUGGGGAUCGAACAGGAUUAGAAACCCUAGUAGUCC